CCGAGGCCUCACCCGGAGGAGCACAUCCAUCCUGACGCUCUGGUCUGCCGUGGCCUUCCCACGAACGGGCCUGGAGCCCCUGUCUCUGCCUCGGGCAGGGGCAGGGGGACCGGCCGCCUGGGGUCCCGGCCUGGCCUCUGGCUUUUGGUGGGAGCCUGGGCAGGCCCCUGUCCCCUCCGGGCCUCAGUGUCUGCACCCUCCACUGAGGCACCACGAAGCGUCCCCUUGUUCUGCCGUCCCAGAGGUUGGGCAGGUGCGGGACAAGCCCCACCUCCCUGCCAGUCUCUCCAGGCCGCUGGGUCUGCCCCUGACUGGCUGGUGUGUCGUUCCCCCGUCUGGGCCUCAGUUUCCCCAACAACGAGAUGAGCAUGGUCAUUUUCAUCACUUUUACUCAGCCUCGUCGGUUUGCUACAAGGAUCCAGCUGGAUGGAGGGUGAGGAAGUUCUGUUAAUAGCUCUCGGGCGCCUCUGGGUCCUUGAGGCUCAGGGGGAAGCGGCAUGUCUCCUUAAGGCCACUAGGUGGUGCCAGCGGGCCACCCAUCUCCCUGAAGGCUGUCAAGUUCCACCCUGGGUUACUGCAGGACCACAGCCAUGUACCUCCUCCCACUGAGACGGGCCAGCUGGCAGAGGCAGGCUGUGCUGGGGUUAGGGACGGGUUUUAGGGUCAAGCAAACUUGAACUUGAAGUUCUACUCCGGGCCCUGCUCUUGGUGAGUGUCCUGGGUCUCUGCUUGGCAAUUAACUCGCCGGGUGUCACUGGGCAUGUCACAGGACCUGCGACUUGAGGUUCUUCAUCUGGGAAACAGGACAACGUGUCUUUUCUCCUGGGGCAUCCUGGAGACCAAGUGACAUCGGUCGUGUAAAAUAUCCAUCCCGCCUUCUGGCCCAGAGCGAGCCUCUGUGAGCACGUCUGUCACCAGCCAUUACUACUUUACAUGUCAGAGUCUCCCCUGGGGAGAACCUCGGGCAGGAAGCCCAGAGAACUGGAUCUGAAUUUGGCAAGUCCCUUCUCAUCUCUGGUUCUCUGUUGGCCCCAACGGACAUUGAGAGACUGGGAGCGUCGUGGAGAAAUAAGGGCUUGGGAAUCCGACAGACUUGGUGUGAAUGCGGCCCACCUCUCCUCUUCCCAGCUGUGCGCCCUUGGGCCUCCCUGGUGAGAAAACAGGCCCAGAGAAGGUGGGUCCUUGCCCAGGCUCACACAGCUACGGAGCAGUAGAAGCUGGCAUUUGAAACUGAGCCCCAAGACAGAUUCGUGUUGGCAGAUGUAUAAACUGAAUACUGACCCUCCAGAGAGAUCCACGCCCUAAUCCCGGGAACCCCUGUGAAUGUCACCUCCCGAUGGCAAAGGGAUUCUGCAGAUGGGAAGAAGUGAAGGAUCUUGAGAUGGGAACAUUAUCCCCGAUUAUCCAGGUGGGCCUAAUGUCAUUGCAAGGAUCCUUCUCAGAGGGAGGUGGGAGCGUCAGAGUGGGAAGAAGAGAAUGGACAGCAGAGGGAGGAAAGGCCACGUGAUGUGGGAAUGAAGGCAGCA
RNAcentral lists this long non-coding RNA (1526 nucleotides) under Equus caballus (horse). RNAcentral describes it as "lncRNA (ENSECAG00000054642.1)". Lineage: Eukaryota; Metazoa; Chordata; Mammalia; Perissodactyla; Equidae. The record is from RNAcentral.